AUCCCUGUGGCUCAGUUGGUAGAGCAUGGUGUUUGCAACACCAGGGUUGUGGGUUCGAUUCCCACGGGGGGCC
This is a non-coding RNA of Salmo salar (Atlantic salmon), 73 nucleotides long. Lineage: Eukaryota; Metazoa; Chordata; Actinopteri; Salmoniformes; Salmonidae. The record is from Rfam.